RNAcentral lists this ribosomal RNA (116 nucleotides) under Paraclostridium sordellii. The record is from RNAcentral. Lineage: Bacteria; Bacillati; Bacillota; Clostridia; Peptostreptococcales; Peptostreptococcaceae.
UAGUUAUUAUAGCAAAGAGGAUAUACCUGUUCCCAUUCCGAACACAGAAGUUAAGCUCUUUAGCGCCGAUGGUACUUGGUGGGAAGCUGCCUGGGAGAGUAGGACAUAGCUAGGUG